UAAGGAAUAUUGGUCAAUGGAGGCAACUCUGAACCAGCCAUGCCGCGUGCAGGAAGACGGCCCUCUGGGUUGUAAACUGCUUUUAUUCGGGAAUAAACCUAUCUACGUGUAGAUAGCUGAAUGUACCGAAGGAAUAAGGAUCGGCUAACUCCGUGCCAGCAGCCGCGGUAAUACGGAGGAUCCAAGCGUUAUCCGGAUUUAUUGGGUUUAAAGGGUGCGUAGGCGGCCUAUUAAGUCAGGGGUGAAAGACGGUAGCUCAACUAUCGCAGUGCCCUUGAUACUGAUGGACUUGAAUGAACUAGAGGUAGGCGGAAUGUGACAAGUAGCGGUGAAAUGCAUAGAUAUGUCACAGAACACCGAUUGCGAAGGCAGCUUACUAUGGUUUUAUUGACGCUGAGGCACGAAAGCGUGGGGAGCAAACA
This 422-nucleotide ribosomal RNA is filed under the name uncultured bacterium. RNAcentral describes it as "bacterial SSU rRNA". It matches the Rfam family "Bacterial small subunit ribosomal RNA", at positions 355 to 774 of the family's 1533-position model. The record is from RNAcentral.